Molecule: long non-coding RNA, 1216 nt
Organism: Sus scrofa (pig)
Lineage: Eukaryota; Metazoa; Chordata; Mammalia; Artiodactyla; Suidae
Source: RefSeq, a predicted model, not a curated record
GAACCGACGGGCUUCGGGACCAAUCACCGCGCAGCUUCCGACAGACGCUGAACCAAUGGUUGCAAGCCGCCCCUGGACCAACGCCUCUCAAGUUACCUCUGGAUUUACUCAGCAAAUGACUCAAACACCAGUAAACGAACGAAGAGGGGAAAAAAAGAAGAGAAAAAGAGGAUUCACUGUCCAGUGACUUUCAAGAGUUGAUUUCCUUGAGAAGCUUCUCUACCCAUCUAGACUCAAGGGUGACUACUUCCGGGAACCUCAAAUCUGGAUGUAAAGUUGACAACAGAAAGAUGAACAACCCAAUAAACAAAUUAGGCAAGAGAUUUGAACAGGCGUUUCACAAAGAUACCAAUGGGCAACAAGCAAUUGGAAAACCACUCACCAGGACUUCCUGUUGUGGCUCAGCCGGUUAAGAACCCGACGCGUAUCCAUGAGGGUGGGAGUUCAGUCUCCAGCCUCGCUCAGGGAAUUAAGGAUCCGGCGUGGCUGUGGCUGUGGUGUAGGCAGGCAGCUACAGCUCUGAUUCGACCACUACCCUGGGAACUUCUAUAGGCCUCAGGUGUGGCUCUGAAAAGACCAAAAAAACCAGAAACUGCAAAUUAGUAUCCUGAUGAGGCAGAGUUCCCCCUGGGGCACCAUGGGUUAAGGAGCCAGUGUUGCCACUGCAGUGGCACAGGUUUGCUCCCUGGCCCAGGAACUCCCACCUGCCUCAGAUGCAGCCAAAACACAAAAAUUAAAAAAGACCGACACCUCCACAUGUUAGCAGAGCUGUGGGGCAACCAGCCGACACUGCCCAUUAGCCGUGGAAGUUAAACAUCGCUCAGCCUGUGACCCAGCAGUUCCACUUCUAGAUGUUUAUCCGAGAGAAAUGAAAACACGCUUGCAAAAAAAUAUUUGUAUAAAAAUGUUCAUUGCCGCCCAGACUGGAAGUAGCCUAGCGGUCCAUCAAGAGGGCACCACCCGAUGUGGUGUGACCACACGGUGGACGGCUAUUCGGUGACAGAAGGAAAAAACUGCCCCCAAACAUCCAGGCCUUUGCUGUGUUCAUCCUGCUCUAUUCAUCCAACUCUCUGAGAACACAACUAGGUCACCCGGUGCUUGGAGCGGAACAGGGUACCGUGGUAAGCUGGAAACCGUAGCAGGAACCCGAAGGGCACCGAUCUUAGGCGAACAGUAAGAGAGAAAAAUCCAUGAGCUGGAGGCAGCUAUUCUCCUA